CUUCGGUAUUAUUGAGAUUUUACGAGGAAUAUCGUACAAUUCAAGUUUUUAGGAGUUUCUUUAUUAACAUUUACAUUAAUUAUUAACACUAAAUUGUAUGAAUUUUUAAAAUUUUAAUUUUAAAACAAAUGAUAAAUUAAUAAAUUUUAUAAUUCGUAUUGUUUUUGUUUUUUAAUAAUUUCGAACAUACUAUAUUUCGAGUGUAUAAUCUUUCGAACUCUUGACGUUCGAACUUACAGCAUUCGAACAUAUAAUUUUCGAACACAAAACCCCGUUCUUGCCAAGUGCGUAGCACAAUGGUUUUUUCCGAAAAAAUCAUUGGUGCGAAAAAACCGAGCGAAUCGUAAAACCGGGUAAUCAGUAACAGAAUGCCGUGUUUAGUGAAGACGGCUGGGAUAUCGAGGGCCGGUUCACAGCUAAAAUAGUAAUUAACCGUGCCCUAAAGGAGACCAAGGACCUUAAUGUCCCCGCUGGUAUUUAUGGCGAAGGUCACCGAUUUCGUCACCCAAAAUCCACAUGGAACGGUUUGCAACAUGGCGUCAGUAUUACUCACUCAUUUCCGUAACUCGAGUCUGGCGCUGGCGAGAGCACAGUUAAGCUUAGCUUGUGCAGCAAGUGCCUCGUUUACGGUAUCGGCUCAGAAACAAUUGUCAUCAAAGUGUGUCUGAUGACGAAGGGUAUGCUGAGCGUGUGACUGAUUCACUCAGUCAACAUCCGCAAUCUCCUGCAUAACUCGUAAUGCCAGGAAUGGCACACAGUUGAUUCCGUACGUUACGGUGUUAAGCUCCAGUUAUAGGGGCGGUCAACUUGGACCAACGAAGCCCAAUUGCUUUGCGGAGACAAUCGUAAUGCGCUGACGUGGAGUUGAUUAAUGUACACGCAGGCUGGAAUCUUCCAGCUCGGUCUCGUACGUGGACUAAUGCCGUACCUAGCAAAACCAAUAGUGAACCGUACCCAGACAAAGGCGAUGUCGACGUGGCUGGAGGUGUCGAAUUUGAGGACGGGACGAUGUCAUAGACCUGGGUGUAGUAGUUUGUGGCGUAAGUGUGAACUCACUGAGCAUUUCUUAUGUUCUUUGCAACGAUUGGCCCAAUUGCUGUCACUAAAGCAGGGAAAACAUAUUUGUUGAGUGCGUGGCCACUUGGUAUAUUCUCCGAUCGUCAAUACACUUAAUUUCCGAUACACAUCAAGAGCGUAUAGAUUUUUACAAUAUUUGCUCACUGUAGAUGUGGCCUAGUACUAGCAAAACCAAUAGUGAACCGUACUCAGACAAAGGCGAUGUCGACGUGGCUGGAGGUGUCGAAUAAGAAGAACGGGACGAUGUCAUAGAUCUGGGUGUAGUAGUUUGUGGUGUAAGUGUGAACUGAUUGAGCAUUUCUUAGGUUCUUUGCAACGAUUGGCCCAAUUGCUGUCACUAAAGCAGGGAAAACAUAAUUGUUGAGUGCGUGGCCACUUGGUAUAUUCUC
Non-coding RNA from Cinara cedri, 1466 nucleotides. The record is from the annotation of a GenBank genome assembly. NCBI's taxonomy places the organism in Eukaryota, Metazoa, Arthropoda, Insecta, Hemiptera, Aphididae.